Molecule: long non-coding RNA, 1670 nt
Filed under: Zostera marina
Lineage: Eukaryota; Viridiplantae; Streptophyta; Magnoliopsida; Alismatales; Zosteraceae
Description: long non-coding RNA (ZMAR_LNC005224)
Source: RNAcentral
GUUCGGUGUAAGAUUUUUCUUCAUUUGGAGGAAUGACGAGUAGUAUACUGGAUAUAUUUUCGCAGACCGAAUUUGAGUUUUAUUCAUUUAUUGUUGCCUGGGCAUUUUUUACUCUUGCAAACAUCGAGUGAUGAGUAUGUGAAUUGGCCUAGAACUCAAAAGAUAAUUGAUUAUAAGACAAGUUUAGAGGAGGGAGGGUAUUCAGGACAUGAUCUUACAUACAAAGCGGUUGUGCUGUUGGAUGAUAGUUAUGUUUUACACUUUUCUUGGCAAUGCCAUUUUGUUUUAUCCAUAGAUGUAAUCUUGGGAGAAAAUGAGUUUAGUCUAUAAAUCGAAUUAAUGCACUCUGAAAAGGAAAAUUCACAUCAUUUUCUCUAAUUAUUUUGUAAAGUAACCUUGACUACUUUUUUCUCAGCAUCAUUAUAAUAAUGGUAAUAGGGGCCGGAGAUGGCCAGAUGUAGGGAAUUUGAGAGGAAAAACACACAGAAAAACAUAAGCUUAAUUUUUCAUUUACAAAACUUGGGAAAAUUUCGAAAGAGGUUGCUGGUUUGAUGCUUUUUUUUAGAUCUGUAUGAAGUAAAUUCAAUAUUGAUAAAUAGAGCUAAUUGAUAUGCAUGAUUCAUGUAGGCUUAGAUAAAUCACAACUCAUAAACUCAUUUAUAUUUUAUGCUGUGUAUUUAAAUUAAUUGGGAUUUUUUUUUUAUAGUUUUUGAAAUUAAGCAGCACAAAUUUAAAAUGUCUAACUUUAUAAUAAAUGUUCUAAUGAGUAAAAGAUCUUAAAAUUGUCGGCGAGUAUAACUUUUUUUCGGAUAACUGUUGACACGAAAUGGAAAGAGCUAUACGGCUAUACCUAUACGUUUUGGGGGGAGUCAAGGUGGAGUCCCACCUCGCCUACGCGGACGAUGUGAGCUUUUACUGUCUCUCAGGAUUGGAGGUAAGCUCUGCGAAAAGCUAUGUCGUUUUUCCAGCUAAGGUGGAAGACGGAGCACAAUUGGGCUUCCGGUAUUAAGUCUGUCAGUACGUCAUUUUGGGGUUCCGCUGACUGGAAGAUCUAUAGCGCACAGAGACUGCGAUUUCUUGAUCGCGGACCUUCAAGUCUUCCUUGAGAGAUGGAGUCGGAAACCAUUGUCAUACGCGGGCCGUUAACUGCUGAUUCAAUGGAAAGUUCUGUUAUUUGAUGCAGGCGAGCUCCCUACCUCAACACACCAUUGAAACGAUCAAAUCACUGGUGUAAAAAGUUAUCUAGAGGGCUCAGAAAGAGGUGGUCUGGUCCAAUAUGACUUUCCCACAGGACGAGGGUGGCUUGGGGCUGCAGGUUUUUGGGAUGCUACUGUUAUUUUCUGGAGGAGGUGCUGUCCUGGAGGCGACGUCGGAGCUUCUGGAGCCUUCUAGCGACGAUCGCCGGAGAAUUGCAACUAGGUUUUUCCGGUUACAAGAAAAGGGGGAAAAACUGUCGUUGGAGAGAGAAGAAAGGGGAAGAAUGAUUUGGGGGGAAUAUGAAAAAUGUUAAUCUUUUUUCUUUGAUUAACUUGUGUAAUUCAAUUAAUUAAAACCAGUUUACAACCCAAUCAUUUAUACACUAUUUACAACUAACUAAUAACUAAUUUUCUUUAAAUUAAACUGAUUCAAUUUAAUCGGGUCUCGGGUCGGUCUUGUGAGCCUGGAUCCGG